RNAcentral lists this long non-coding RNA (806 nucleotides) under Marmota monax (woodchuck). Lineage: Eukaryota; Metazoa; Chordata; Mammalia; Rodentia; Sciuridae. The record is from RNAcentral.
GGGAACUGAGAUUUUAUAACAGAAUUCACAAUUCAACUGAGCUCUAUGUAGACAGAGGGCAACUUGGUUCUAUGAUGGCAAGGGACUGAAGUUCUAUGAAGGUGGAUCUCACAGGGCUGAUGGGCUAUAUGUGGAAAUUCACAUCAUGGGAUUUCAAUAAAUUGUGUCUCCCAGCACUAUUACAUCCUGUGUGGAGAGCUGGGGAACUAGGCAACUCAGUGAAACUCUGUCUCUAAAUAAAAUACCAAAAAAUGGGUUGGGGAUUUGGCUCAGUGGUCAAGUGCCCCUGAGUUCAACCUGCAUCACCAAAAUAACAACAGCAACAACAACAAAAAACCCACAGGGAACUGCAAUUCUAGGAUGGUAGGACUAUCUGUCCUGCUAAUAUUUAUGUGGAAAGCAUUGAAUUUGAGGUUCUAUUUAUGGAAGAAUUCAUGGUCUCCUGGGGUCUACAAGAGAGACAGGUAAGUGGGUUUCUCUGGUAGCAGUGAAGCCAGAAUUAGACAGGCAAUCAGUGUAGAUAGGUAUAUGGAGUCAGAUCAGAUCAUGGAGGCCAAUUUGAGUGAGUAUGGGCAGUUGGAUAUUGUCCCCUGAGGGAUCUAAUCAAGAACCUGCCUCUGCUCCAACCGGUUACCAAGGUAACUUGUCCCAGGAAUUUCCCUUCCCUAUAGGGAGCUAUAAGGUUGUUAAUGUGUCCUUGGCUACUCUGCCCUGCCCUUCCCUCUUCAGCCCACCAGUUUCUCAACUUUUGGCCAUCUCACUGGGCAUUCCUGGGCCUAGUCACUAGGCAGGAAGGAGAAAGAUAA